Molecule: long non-coding RNA, 2211 nt
Filed under: Lactuca sativa (garden lettuce)
Lineage: Eukaryota; Viridiplantae; Streptophyta; Magnoliopsida; Asterales; Asteraceae
Description: long non-coding RNA (LSAT_LNC007187)
Source: RNAcentral
AGCCGACGAGUCGGCAGUGGUGACAUUAGAAGAUAUUCAGGUGGAUGUGAGCCUGAACUAUAUUGAGAGGCCAGUGGCGAUUAGGGAUCGAAAGAUCAAGGUUCUGAGGAGCAAGGAGGUACCUCUGGUGCAGGUCCAGUGGCAGCAUUGGAAAGGGUCCUAGUUGACUUCUGAGCCAGAGCGUGAGAUGCGAGAGCAGUAUCCAAAGUUGUUUGCAGAGUGAGACUUCGAGGGCGAAGUCUAAUUCUAGUGGGGGAGAAUUGUAACACCCGGAUUCCCAGGUAUAUUAUUUUAUUCCUUUAUUUUUUGGAGGAUGGGAGGGGACUCGGCAAGUUGGUGUUUAGACUCGCCGAGUAUGGUCGCGGAUUCGUAUCUGGGUUCACAGCUGGACUCGACGAGUUCAUGAGUAGAGUCGGCGAGUCCAUGCUGUUUAAUGAAACCCUAAUUUCCUGGGUUUGGGACCUAUUUAAAGGCCCUUAGGGCUGUCAUUUGAGGCUACCAAACCCCAGAGAGAAACCCUAAGAGAUCUAGAGCGUUUGUGAGGAAGGAGAGGACAUUCUUGACCAUUUUGUUGAUGUAAUUGCAAGAAGGAGGUGACAAAGGCAAUAGGAGGCUGAAGGAGGUGCGAUUCUGGUGACUUCAGAGUUCAUAGACUUCAACUUGAGGUAUUUAUUCGGAUAUUCUUCAGUUUGGUGUUGAUUCUUAGAGUUAGGGUUUUCUAACCCCCUUUAGAGGAUGGAUAUGUGGAGCAAUUGGUCCCCUCUCGAGUUUAUGCUUUGGAUAUGGACUCAAAGAGGUCCAGAGACCUUAACCCUUGAAGCUUUAUGAGUUAUUUUGGGAGCCAUGAACUUAGGAUGUUAUUUUUGGGGCUAAAUCACCAAGUGAGACCAUCUAGAUGUUAUUUGUGUGUCAAGGUAUGAACUUUACGUGAUUAGCAUGCUUGGGAAGGUCAGAUCUAAGGAUUAAAGGAAGAGAUAUGACCUCAGGAGGUCUAUGGAGUUUGUGCAUGGCAUGAACUCGCCAAGUCCAAAGAUCAGACUCGGCGAGUAGGGUUAGGGUUUCCCAUCAAUCACUCAGUGAGUAGAAUUGCCGAGUUGGGUAAAUAACUCAGUGAGUCAUAGGGGGAUUAGGGGACUGGAGUUCAAGGCAGAACUCACCAAGUUGUUCUUGAGACUCGGCAAGUUGAGUCUGGGUGGCCUCGCGAUUCAUGCAAGGUGUGACUCGUCGAGCAAGGGGAGGAACUCAACGUGCCAAGCGGGACUAAAGAGUUAAUGGACAUGUGUAGACUCGCCGAGUCGCCCAAGUGCACUCGACGAGUCGGGUCAAAGUUUGACCAUUGACUUUUGUUGACUUUUAGGGGUUGGUCAACAAUGUGGCCUUUGAGCUAAAAGAGGGGUAAAAUGGUGUUUUGCCUGCUGAGGGUGCCUAGAGAGGGUUGAGUCUAGUCCCAUGAGUUAUAUUUAAGAAAAUAUUUACGUUAUGUGAUCAGGCGGAGGCUAGAUCAUAUUUCUACCGAGUCAGAGAUUUACUGAGACAUCUGAGGUGAGUCUUCUCACUAUACUUUACCUAGUGGGGUAACAGAAUUAUGUGACAGGGUAUUUUAGAGUUAUAUGCCACCCUUUGAGUUGUUGUAUGGGAGGAGGUGUCGGACCCCCAUUUGCUGGGGAAAGGUAAGGCAGCGUUUGAUGAGUAGUACUGAGACCGUGCUUCAGACGACAGAGCAGAUUCAGCAGGUCAGACAGAGGUUGUUGACCGCUCAGAGUCGUCAGAAGAGUUGUGCGGACAGACGUCGGUCCGAGCUCAAGUUUCAGGUCGGCGACUUCAUGCUCUUGAAGGUCUCUCCUUGGAAAGGAGUGAUUCGAUUCAGGAAGAGGGGAAAGUUGGGGCCCCGAUAUAUUGUUCCUUUUAGGGUGAUCGCGAGGGUAGGUAGGGUAGCCUACCAUUUAGAGUUACAUGCAGAGUUGGGUCAGAUCCAUGACACUUUCAACAUGUCGCAGCUGAGAAAGUGUAUAGCCGACGAGUCGGCAGUGGUGACAUUAGAAGAUAUUCAGGUGGAUGUGAGCCUGAACUAUAUUGAGAGGCCAGUGGCGAUUAGGGAUCGAAAGAUCAAGGUUCUGAGGAGCAAGGAGGUACCUCUGGUGCAGGUCCAGUGGCAGCAUUGGAAAGGGUCCUAGUUGACUUCUGAGCCAGAGCGUGAGAUGCGAGAGCAGU